This is a long non-coding RNA of Gasterosteus aculeatus aculeatus (three-spined stickleback), 1147 nucleotides long. The record is from Ensembl. Lineage: Eukaryota; Metazoa; Chordata; Actinopteri; Perciformes; Gasterosteidae.
UGCUCUGUCACAACAGUGUGCAGACACAGCAUGUGGAUGGUACAUUUGUCUCAUUGAGCGUCCUGAACACAGCACCAGAAAUCCAUUAAUUGCGUAAUUAAAUAGAUGAUUGAAAAAUGGUGUAUUGCACACGUUCAUGCAAACGCUUUAAAUGAGGUCAACUGAAGCAUGUUAACAGUUUUUGUUAACAGCAGAGAAUGGCGUUGGCCUUUGUUCUCACGUCUUGUGGUUACAAAUGACUUUGGUUCAAUCAGCUCCACCGUCCUGAAGAGAUUUACAAUCGGAAAUAGAUCAACACCGUCUCCUCUUUGGGUUUGUGUCCCCUGCUGUGGCAGUCUUAGGCCCGCCCCCCAAUUAUCUUAUUGGUUGAGGCGGGGGGGGUCGACCGCCGUCCCAAGUCAACACUGAUCAACAUCGCCCCCCCCGAUCGUGAACCAUGAUGCGUCUGCAUGUUUAUUCAGAGCCGGCAAAACAGCUCUGGCAGUAAUUAAUAAGUUAUGGUAAUUUCACAUUGUUUUGCUUUGUAAGGCAUUUUGGGAGUAAAACAUGAGCCGCUGAAUUAAGAUGUAUUUAUUUGGAAAGCGGGCUGUGAUGCACAAGAUUAAUGAGGCGGAAAGUGUCUGCACAGAAGGAAUAUUCUAUUGAGAGGACUUUUUAAUCAGACACUUCCCGCGUUGAAUAGAAUGUCUCUGGACCGCCGAUGCCCAAUGUGUCCUACGUGCGGCAGAUGGAUCUGACGCCCUCGGCGUUUUCCAGGAGUUUUCCCGGCCGGCGAGGGACGGUGGGAGGACGGUGACGUCAGCGCGCGCCCUCGAGCGGACGGGGACGAGGUCCGAAAGGCAGCGAGGGGCCAGGCCGAUGGAGCCAUCAAUGUCGUCCCCGUCCUCGACGGGUCCCACGAGCUCUGCAGCAAAUUUACAGAGAAAACCGCGCUGUUGCAUCAUCGCACGGAGCUGGAGUUAAGAGACACAGGAUUGGAUUUAUGUAUCACACUGCUUGAGGUUGUAGUCUUUGAAUAUUUGUCAAUAAAACCCUCGCAGAUGAAGAGGCAGCACGCUUGUGUAGCAGUCAAGUGCUUCUCCAGGGGUUUUCUUCUCCCUAAAUCUGAAGAUUAAAAACAUGGUUGCCACAACAGAGCGCUGCGCGG